GGGGUUGUAGCUCAGUGGUGGAGUGCUUGCCUAGCAUAUAUGAGGCACUGGGUUCAAUUCUCAGCACCACA
RNAcentral lists this transfer RNA (71 nucleotides) under Marmota monax (woodchuck). Its description in RNAcentral is "tRNA.Ala". It matches the Rfam family "tRNA". Rfam says of the family: Transfer RNA (tRNA) molecules are approximately 80 nucleotides in length. Their secondary structure includes four short double-helical elements and three loops (D, anti-codon, and T loops). The record is from RNAcentral. Lineage: Eukaryota; Metazoa; Chordata; Mammalia; Rodentia; Sciuridae.